UACAGAGGGUGCAAGCGUUGCUCGGAAUCAUUGGGCGUAAAGGGCAGGUAGGUGGUCUGAUUUGUCUGGCGGUGAAAUCCUUGAGCUUAACUCAAGAAGUGCCCCGGAAACGGUCAGACUUAUGAGUCUUGGAGAGGGUUGCGGAAUUCCCGGUGUAGCGGUGAAAUGCGUAGAGAUCGGGAGGAACACCAGAGGCGAAGGCGGCAACCUGGACAAGCACUGACACUCAACUGCGAAAGCGUGGGGAGCAAACAGG
Molecule: ribosomal RNA, 256 nt
Filed under: uncultured bacterium
Lineage: Bacteria
Description: partial 16S ribosomal RNA
Rfam family: Bacterial small subunit ribosomal RNA
Source: RNAcentral